GAUGAACGCUGGCGGCGUCCCUAAUACAUGCAAGUCGAGCGAACAGACGAGGAGCUUGCUCCUCUGACGUUAGCGGCGGACGGGUGAGUAACACGUGGAUAACCUACCUAUAAGACUGGGAUAACUUCGGGAAACCGGAGCUAAUACCGGAUAAUAUAUUGAACCGCAUGGUUCAAUAGUGAAAGACGGUUUUGCUGUCACUUAUAGAUGGAUCCGCGCCGCAUUAGCUAGUUGGUAAGGUAACGGCUUACCAAGGCGACGAUGCGUAGCCGACCUGAGAGGGUGAUCGGCCACACUGGAACUGAGACACGGUCCAGACUCCUACGGGAGGCAGCAGUAGGGAAUCUUCCGCAAUGGGCGAAAGCCUGACGGAGCAACGCCGCGUGAGUGAUGAAGGUCUUCGGAUCGUAAAACUCUGUUAUUAGGGAAGAACAAAUGUGUAAGUAACUAUGCACGUCUUGACGGUACCUAAUCAGAAAGCCACGGCUAACUACGUG
RNAcentral lists this ribosomal RNA (497 nucleotides) under uncultured bacterium. RNAcentral's name for it is "partial 16S ribosomal RNA". It matches the Rfam family "Bacterial small subunit ribosomal RNA", at positions 28 to 507 of the family's 1533-position model. The record is from RNAcentral.